UGGGGCGUGGCCAAGCGGUAAGGCAAGGGACUUUGGAUCCCUGAUUCGUAGGUUCGAAUCCUACCGCCCCAGCCA
RNAcentral lists this transfer RNA (75 nucleotides) under Thermoleophilia bacterium. Its description in RNAcentral is "tRNA-Gln". It matches the Rfam family "tRNA". Rfam says of the family: Transfer RNA (tRNA) molecules are approximately 80 nucleotides in length. The record is from RNAcentral. Lineage: Bacteria; Bacillati; Actinomycetota; Thermoleophilia.